CCUAACACAUGCAAGUCGAGCGGUAACAGGAAUUAGCUUGCUAAUUCGCUGACGAGCGGCGGACGGGUGAGUAAUGCCUGGGAAUAUGCCUUAGUGUGGGGGAUAACUAUUGGAAACGAUAGCUAAUACCGCAUAAUGUCCUUGUUCAUUACGAGCGGGACCAAAGAGGGGGACCUUCGGGCCUCUCGCGCUAAGAUUAGCCCAGGUGGGAUUAGCUAGUUGGUGAGGUAAAGGCUCACCAAGGCAACGAUCCCUAGCUGGUCUGAGAGGAUGAUCAGCCACACUGGAACUGAGACACGGUCCAGACUCCUACGGGAGGCAGCAGUGGGAAUAUUGCACAAUGGGGGGAACCCUGAUGCAGCCAUGCCGCGUGUAUGAAGAAGGCCUUCGGGUUGUAAAGUACUUUCAGUCGUGAGGAAGGCAUUGUAGUUAAUAGCUGCAGUGCUUGACGUUAGCGACAGAAGAAGCACCGGCUAACUCCGUG
Molecule: ribosomal RNA, 484 nt
Filed under: uncultured bacterium
Lineage: Bacteria
Description: bacterial SSU rRNA
Rfam family: Bacterial small subunit ribosomal RNA
Source: RNAcentral